AGCUACUGGUAAAACUUAGAAACGUGCUUGGUGGGAAGUUCUGGCUGAUAAUGUUGGCAGAGAUUUCUUGCUUACAUUUUACUUUGCUGGAGAAAUACAAGUAAUUUCUUUUUGCAAGCAAAAUCAAAACCAGGCUGCGCAGCAUGGCUUUUGUGACUACAUUAGGAACUGUUUGCUGGAGCGUUUUCCACUGCCAGGCUGGGUUCAGGUUUCUUUCUGAGAUGAUUCAAAACUAGUCUUAAGAGUGAUCGGCCACGAUGGUAUUUGGGAGCUGUAUGGAGGAGAGAAACACAGCCCCUCCAUUGAAAAGAGUUUGUGGGUGACCACGCACAAGAGCACAAAAUUGUGUCUGCCAUCUCAGUUUAGAGCUUGGAGAAACGGGGCUAUCGCACCACUACUGCUUAAGAUGAUCAGUGACAAAAUCUCAGAAGGCUGAAACACAGGAGUUUUAAACAAGAUCGCGGGGCCUGCCC
Molecule: long non-coding RNA, 473 nt
Organism: Oxyura jamaicensis (ruddy duck)
Lineage: Eukaryota; Metazoa; Chordata; Aves; Anseriformes; Anatidae
Exons: 6
Source: RefSeq, a predicted model, not a curated record